UUCUUCUUCUUCUUUUCUUUCCUCUUUUUGGUCAUGAUGAAGAAGGCUAUAUUACUCUUGUUGAUGGGUAGUUGCUUUAGGGGUUAUUGAUACUUAGGGAGUGUUUGGUUUACCUGUUGAGUGCAGCUGAUAGCUAAUAGACACCUAAACAGGCAAAUUAUAGUUUUUGGCAAGCUUAAAAAUAUAGAGCUGAUAGUUGAUGGGCAACUGAUAUGAUACCCAUAA
RNAcentral lists this unclassified non-coding RNA (225 nucleotides) under Hevea brasiliensis (rubber tree). The record is from RNAcentral. Lineage: Eukaryota; Viridiplantae; Streptophyta; Magnoliopsida; Malpighiales; Euphorbiaceae.